This 407-nucleotide ribosomal RNA is filed under the name uncultured bacterium. Its description in RNAcentral is "partial 16S ribosomal RNA". It matches the Rfam family "Bacterial small subunit ribosomal RNA", at positions 30 to 526 of the family's 1533-position model. The record is from RNAcentral.
AUUGAACGCUAGCGGGAUGCCUUACACAUGCAAGUCGAACGGCGUGGCGAACGGGUGAGUACUGUAUCGGAACGUGCCCAGUAGCGGGGGAUAACUACGCGAAAGCGUAGCUAAUACCGCAUACUAUUGGCGCGGCCGCUGUCGGAGUAGCUCGUUGGUGGGGUAACGGCUCACCAAGGCGACGAUCCGGAGCUGGUUUGAGAGGACGACCAGCCACACUGGGACUGAGAAACGGCCCAGACUCCUACGGGAGGCAGCAGUGGGGAAUGUUGGACAAUGGGGGAAACCCUGAUCCAGCAAGCCCGCGUGUGCGAUGAAGGCUUUCGGGUUGUAAAGCACUUUUGGCAGGAAAGCGGGACCUGCAGAAUAAGCACCGGCUAACUACGUGCCAGCCGCCGCGGUAAUUC